This is a non-coding RNA of Danio rerio (zebrafish), 1050 nucleotides long. The record is from Ensembl. Lineage: Eukaryota; Metazoa; Chordata; Actinopteri; Cypriniformes; Danionidae.
AGAGCUCACAGUAGGUGGCAGUACUGCUCUGAGAAGGCAAACCACCAAUAAAGCAAGAAGAAGAGCUCUACCUGCUGUUUCACUCACCUGUGUGUUUCUCCUCCAGUGUUUGCUCAGCGGUUCACCUGUUCGUGUGUUCUCUCCUGCUCAUCUCGGCCGGUCAGCAUCACCAGAACUGUGGAGUUGAACAGCAGAUCUGAAAUACUUCAGAAACACGCAUCAUACUGCUUUACAAGUUGAGACAUGAGAAUGAAGAGAGAAGCAGGCAGACGUCACAGUAAACACACCCAUCCUCAUACAGGACGAGGUCAUGGAGAGUCUGUGCUCGCAGAGAUCCUCAGAAAACAUCUCAGGUCUCUGGGAUACCUGCAUUCAGAGGGUCCGCUGAUUAUUAGACUAAAGAACAACACAUCUUUUACGAAGGGAGCCAGCUUCAGGAUCUGUUGAAGUCCAACAGUGAUAUAUGACUAGCUCAGAGUAGAGUAUAACCUGUCUGAAACACGGCCCAACUGGGUUCCUCAUUCAGUAAUAAACAUUCACAACAGAGAGAAAGGAAGGAAAACAACACUAUAGAAACCCCUUGUUUUGCCUAUACUACUUUGCUAUUUAAUUUUUGCUCUGCUUGAUGUCAAACACUACCAAUCACGGUAUUGAUUUAUGAUGAGAAACUUUAAUAAUUGACAUAACUGAUGCUUUAAAUAGACACUGCCUGUUUGUAAUGUAUUUUAGAUAUGCAGAAUGGUGGCGGCAGCGCUUUCUUCUCGACUCUUCAAGUGUGUUUAAUAUUAACUGUUAAUAAAGUCAUGCUUGACUGAUGUAGUCUCUCCAGAAUCAACAUCAGUGGCAGUUGCCUUCAUUUCAGUGGAGCCAAAUUUUAUUUCCAAUUUAAUUUCACGACUCAAGCCUCCAUCAGUUUUGGGCAUUCCCACUUCAAAAAAGCCAACCGGCUCAACCCCCGGCUCAUCGAUAAACUGCACCUGUUUUUCAUUUGUGCUGAAGAACUGAAAGAUGGCAGAUGUUUGAUUGGUGUGUGAUGGAUUAAAAAAGAAC